Molecule: ribosomal RNA, 464 nt
Filed under: uncultured bacterium
Lineage: Bacteria
Description: partial 16S ribosomal RNA
Rfam family: Bacterial small subunit ribosomal RNA
Source: RNAcentral
CCUACGGGUGGCAGCAGUAGGGAAUUUUCGUCAAUGGGCGCAAGCCUGAACGAGCAAUGCCGCGUGAACGAGGAAGGUCUUCGGAUCGUAAAGUUCUGUUGAAGGGGAAAAAGAGCGGAGAGAGGAAAUGGUCUCCGAUUGAUAUUACCCUUCGAGGAAGUCACGGCUAACUACGUGCCAGCAGCCGCGGUAAGGCGUAGGUGGCGAGCGUUAUCCGGAAUGAUUGGGCGUAAAGGGUGCGUAGGCGGCCUGCUAAGUCUGGAGUGAAAGGUACCGGCUCAACCGGGACAGGCUCUGGAAACUGGCGGGCUAGAGAGCAGGAGAGGGCGGUGGAACGCCAUGUGUAGCGGUAAAAUGCGUAGAUAUAUGGAAGAACACCAGUGGCGAAGGCGGCCGCCUGGCCUGUUACUGACGCUGAGGCACGAAAGCGUGGGGAGCAAAUAGGAUUAGAUACCCUAGUAGUC